Long non-coding RNA from Thalassophryne amazonica, 123 nucleotides. RefSeq lists it as uncharacterized. The record is from RefSeq and is a predicted model, not a curated record. The transcript has 3 exons. NCBI's taxonomy places the organism in Eukaryota, Metazoa, Chordata, Actinopteri, Batrachoidiformes, Batrachoididae.
UGAGUUUUAAAGCUUUUCUAUAUUUCAACUACAUUAGACAUGCUCCUAUAUAGCCUAACAGAAUAAUAAUAACACACUGUGAAGGGCCGCCUCAACAGUUUAUAACAGUGCUUUGCUGUGAUU